RNAcentral lists this unclassified non-coding RNA (218 nucleotides) under Hevea brasiliensis (rubber tree). The record is from RNAcentral. Lineage: Eukaryota; Viridiplantae; Streptophyta; Magnoliopsida; Malpighiales; Euphorbiaceae.
GAACAGAUUGAGGCAUGCUAUGCCUUGGGGGUGCCUCGGUGUCACUAAUGGCUCCGUUGUCUUGUUUUUGCUGAGCAUAAUUCCAAAAAAGUGCAGCAUAUCUUGACCUUAAAAACAUUACGUCAAAGAUACCACUUGGAUUUUCUUGACCAUAAGACAGCCACUCGGCAAAAGCAGGCAUAUAGAUACCGCAAUCCCUGCGCAUAGGAUUAGACGUC